GAAUGAAGAAGUAAUUAGAUGGAAGGCGGUGUGUGUGGUACGGUGAUGAUUUUGAGGGAAGAAGUUUGAUGCAUUGCUUGAGAAAAUGAUAGCAUGGUCUGGAGCUCACUGUCACGGUUUCUUUAUUUUUUUAUUUUUAUUUUUAUUUUUUUUUAUUUCACAAGCACAUUUCAUUUCUUUUCUUUUAACAUGGCACAUGUCACGGCUAAGGAGGAUUUUAUUUAGAAGUUUUUGCAAUUUUNNNNNNNNNNNNNNNNNNNNNNNNNNNNNNNNNNNNNNNNNNNNNNNNNNNNNNNNNNNNNNNNNNNNNNNNNNNNNNNNNNNNNNNNNNNNNNNNNNNNNNNNNNNNNNNNNNNNNNNNNNNNNNNNNNNNNNNNNNNNNNNNNNNNNNNNNNNNNNNNNNNNNNNNNNNNNNNNNNNNNNNNNNNNNNNNNNNNNNNNNNNNNNNNNNNNNNNNNNNNNNNNNNNNNNNNNNNNNNNNNNNNNNNNNNNNNNNNNNNNNNNNNNNNNNNNNNNNNNNNNNNNNNNNNNNNNNNNNNNNNNNNNNNNNNNNNNNNNNNNAGACUCGAACCACAUUUGGUCCUUGAGAGACGACCUAGGAGUCACUUCCUAGUCUAUAUUGCAUUCUUUUAUGCACAUCAAAUUUGUAUGGGCCGCGACACCCAUCAAAUUUUGGCGUCGUUGCCAGGGACCAACGGUUCGGUUUUAGAUCUUUUGUUGUGUUAGUGUGUGUUGUGUUUUGUCUUGUGUUGUGAGUGUGAUGUUCUGUUUUGUGUGUUCGUCAUUGUGUGUUGCAUUUAGGUAGCCUUAGUUGCAUAUUUUCAUUGCAUUCUCCCCCCCCCCCUUUUUUCUACAUGUCUACCUAUUUUGAUUCUGUGAAUAAUGCUUAUUCUGUUAGUGCCUAUGAUUAUGAUUCUCCUUCUGGAUGUUACUCUGAUGAUUGUGAUGUAUACUCUGCUGAUUUAUGUGCUGAGAACAAUAUGACUCAUCCUCCCACUCAUGAGAGUGCUCUUUUGGAGCCAGUUUCACUUCAUGAGGAUAAUGCUCAUUUCGUUCUCACCUCUGGACUAACACAUUUGCUGCCUAAGUUUCAUGGUUUUAUAGGUGAAUGCCCUCACAGACAUUUGGAGGAGUUCUACACCAUUUGCUCUUCAAAGAAACCUCCUCUUGUCCCCGAUGAUCACAUGUUUUUAAGGGCAUUUCCGCAUUCAUUACAAGAAGCAGCAAGGGAUUGGCUGUAUCGUCUUCCUCUGGGAUCCAUCACUUCUUGGGAAGAUCUUAAGCAUAUGUUCUUGGAUGAAUUUUUCCCUGCUCAGCAUGGCUACAACAACGAUCCUGGAUGGAAUGACCCUAGCUUUUGAUGGUAUGAUGCUCUACAACAAUAUCAGCCAUUCCAGAAUUCUUGUGUGCCUUCUCCCCCUGUCCAGGAACCACAACAAUUGCAGUUUCAUGAGCCUGCCCAAGCAACCCCUCAUCUUUCCACUACUUCUGAGCCUACACUGAAGGAGUUAUUGGAGCAGAUGACUAUUCUGAACAUUCAGUUUCGGCAGGAGAACAUGGAGUUUCAGCAGGAGACCAGAGCUUCCAUUCAGAGUUUGACUGAUCAGAUGGGGCAGAUGGCCACUCAGCUCACUGAGGAACAGUCUUAUGUUUCAGAGGAAUUAUCAUUCCAGACUGUUCAGCUUCCAGAUGAUGUUGAUGCCAUCCACAUAGGAGAUGGGGAGCAGAGUCACGAGUCUACUAUUGCGUCACCUACUUUCUCAUUCUCUUAUGCCCCUACUCUUGCGCCUGAGGAUGCAGUGGAUCAUUUUGCUGUUAUUGGUGAGAUGAAUCAUGAAUCAAUCCAGGUUUUCUCUAAACUUGAAAUCCCACUUGAUUUGCCUGAGUUGUUCAUGCAUUCAGAUAUUCUUGAUUCUGCUGUAGAUUCACAUGUUAGUACUGACUUGGAUAUAGAAUCUGUGAAAACUGAAGAUGUUUUAGACUUAGGAUUAAAUGUUGAUCUUUCACAGUUUUCUGAAAAUUUUACAUGUAGUUGUGAAGUUGGUUCUUGCUCUAUUUGUGUUGAAAUUAAUUCUGUGAUACAACCAGCUUCCAACUUUGUGAUUGGUGAUACUAACUGUGAGUUUGAUGAAAAUGUUAAGGAACAGGCAGAUAUGAGCACCAGGUUUGAGAUAGGUAAACCAGCUUCACCUUCCACCACUUUAGGCACAUCUAGGGAAGUGGAGAUAAACAUACCUGAGAUAGAUUCUGUUGUUGAUGAUUAUGCUGAUGAUGGUAUGUUGAUGAUUAUAUUGUUGAUGAGCAUGAUUUUCAUUCCCCCUCUUUGCAUGAUGAGAACCACUUUGUGUUAUCGCAUCUGAAUGUUUGUUCUCCAUGCACUGAACAUGAAUCUGAACCUAUGAUUGAUAUUGUUUCUAUUUCUGAAAUUGUUUCAUGUUCUGAGGGUUUAUCUGAUGUUCAGCAUGUUACAUUGGGAUUGGGUGUUAUACACCUGCAUGUUAUUUCUGCAGCACCACAUUGCAUUAACCAUGUUGCAGGAGAUACAUAUGGAUUUGAUCAACACACACCCACGAUGGAAGACAAGGGUGCCAGUAUACACAAAAGCUUGAAUAUCAAUGGGCACCAGCUGAACUCACUCAUCAACAAUCAUUGCUUCUUAGAUCCAGCUGUGGAGGACAUCUCCCUGCUUGAUCAAAUCUGGAGACUGAAGCAGUUCCUCCUCAAGACUUCCUUGCUGACUCCAGUGAUGGAGAAUAUCUCCCUGAAAGUCCAAAAUUGGCAACUACCACCAUGAUCAGGGGAGUUUUCUUCUUUUCCCUUCUCCUCCUUUCCCACUUUUAUUACACUUGUUCAUCAUCUGUUGACUGUUCUGAUUUCUGAUUUGAUGAUUGUGACACAUUGAGGACACUAUGUCGUUUAAGUGUGGUCUAUUGGGGGAGACGUUGAUUUGUCUUUGAUUAGUUUCUAUUUUCUGCGUUAAAUUUUUUGUUUUCUAGAUUGUUUUUGUUGUGUCUUGUAUACAGUUUUGCAUGUUUCUCUUGAUUUCUGGACUUAGUUUAGGUUGUAGAUGUGUCUUUCACUUCAUUGAUACUUUGAUUAGCUGGAAAUCCUUGCUUUUCUUUGCUUGGAAGAUGAUUAUGAUGUUUGAGAAGUUGAAUUGAUUGUGACAAUUACCCUGUGUGAGAUUUGAGCCACUUUAUGUUCUGUGUGAUAUGUCUCUUGAUUGCUUGCACAUAUGCCUUGGCUUGACUCUUUUCGAUGUUUCUUGAUUAAUAUGCAUGUUUGGAAGUGAUAAAGGCAGUUUUGUUGUUGAGCCUCUCUAGCCAAAUGAGCCUACUUGUUAUGAUCCUUUGACAGCCCCUUUGAGCCUUUACUUUCCCCAUUUCUUUGUUUUGAAACUCAUACACUAGCCCUAUGUGAAAAACCAUGAUUACCUUAACCUUAGGGAAUUUUGGAGCUUUGGAAUUGUUUUGGGAAUAAGUGUGGUCUCCUUGGAGAUUCAGAUGAAUUGGCUAGUUGGUUCCUCUUCUUGCUUUUGUUUUUGUAUAUAUGUUGUGUUAUCUUGUCUCUUAGAGUUGUGUUCUGAUAAGAGAGAAAAGAAAAUAGACAAGAUGAAAAAAAAAAUACAGAAAAAUGAAAAAAAAAAUUGUGAAUAAAGGAGGAGAACGCCGGAUUGGAGCUGUGCGAACCCGAUUCGACCUCCUCAAAGCUUCUCCGGCAAAGAAAUACGCAGCGGAAUGUAUAUGACUCGAAGAACUCUAAAAACCCUACGAUGAUCUAUGGAACCCUAGAAAAGAGGGGAAACUGGAUUUGGACCGGUUAAUCGGUAGAAAUGGAGGAUUAAUCGGUGGAAAGUGAAGAUCUAAGGAUUUGAGGGUAUUUAAUCGGUGGAAAAUGGCAAAAGAGGCGAGGAAAGGUGUUUGAUCGGUCAAGAUGUGAUAAAAUGUUGGACAGAUGGAGAUCUAAGAAAGAAAAAGACGCUUACGGAGGAGAGGCGACAGAUCUGUGAUGAAGAAAUGGAGUGAUACGCUUGAGGAUGAGAAACCCUAGCAGAGGAGGUUUUCUCUGAAGUAUGAAGAAUGGUGUUGUGUGGAAUACGCUUCUGAUGUGAGAGAAUUGGUGAGAGAAUGAUGUUGCUGAUGUAUGCGAGGUGGCAGCAAAGAAAUGGGCCACCGUGGAAGAGUGACGUCGUGGAGGAGAGAGAGAGCACAAUAGUGAAUUGAAAAGUGGAAAAAUGAGGUAGUGUGCUGGAAGGUGGCUAGAGGAAGUCUUGGGACUCUCUAGCCAAUGACUUUCAAGGGAGAAUUAUUUUCUGAUUUAGAAAACCAAAUUCUCAUUAAUCUCAAAAGUGAUUACAAGAUGUGUUAGCAUGCCUAUAUAUAGGUCACAUGCCUAACACAAUACAAAGUACAUAAAAGAAAAGCUAUACUAAAGACAUUGGGCGUUGGGCCCGCGUAUCAUUUCCUCUGUAGCACUACACCAAUUCUCUUGAGAAUAAAUAGGAGAUUAACUAGGAGUUGGUGGCAGCUGUCACGUCUAGAUGAAAUGGGUAUUUUUAUUAUUCUUUUCUUGCUUUGCUUUCAAAGAAAGGGUUGCUUUUACUGUGAAGAAGUGGUCACGAUUGUGGUUGGAAAGUAAUAUUACUUUUAUUUUGUUGGAAUGACAAAUAGAUUAGGUGGAACUAAGGAUGGGAUGUCCUGGUAGCUAGCUAAAUUGUUUUUUUUUUCUUUUUCUUUUAUUUAUUUGGGAAUGAAGAAGUAAUUAGAUGGAAGGAGGUGUGUGUGGUACAAUGAUGAUUUUGAGGGAAGAAGUUUGAUGCAUUGCUUGAGAAAAUGAUAGCAUGGUCUGGAGCUCACUGUCACGGUUUCUUUAUUUUUUUUAUUUUUAUUUUUUUUUUAUUUUUUUUAUUUCACAAGCACAUUUCAUUUCUUUUCUUUUAACAUGGCACAUGUCACGGCUAAGGAGGAUUUUAUUUAGAAGUUUUUGCAAUUUUAAUUCUUGUGGUAGAUUUAAUUAAGUGUUGGAUUUUAAUCACUUUAAUUAUGUUUGAAUAUUUGUCUUUUGUAGUGUUAGGUUUAGCAUUUUAUUUUACUUUAAUGUUGUCUAUCAUAUUCGGUUGUGCUUAAUUUCCAUGCAUUUUAAUUGAUUUUAAUUCUCGUUUCAAACACCUUCAAACCCCCCCCUUGGUGUUAGACCUAAGACUCGAACCACAUUUGGUCCUUGAGAGACGACCUAGGAGUCACUUCCUAGUCUAUAUUGCAUUCUUUUAUGCACAUCAAAUUUGUAUGGGCCGUAACACCCAUCAUCUAGUUCCUGAGGUGCUUUGCUAUAGUAGACAAGAAUCUUUGACUAAGCAGAAUCUUCUACCACUCCAAAGACAAAAUAAUAACAGAUCAAGCGAACAACAAUAUUGAAGAAAUAUUCAGAGAUCUAAUGAAAACAACAGUGACUCUAGUCCUAUAUUUUUGGAAAUAUAGAUUAAAACGCAGAAGAAUGAAGGUAUGAAUGAAUGAGAGAGAGAGAGAGAGAAAGAUAAAAAGAAAGAGGAACCUAGUUUUGUGAGGAGUUACCGAACCAAGACAAUGGAAGGGUCCUGAAUGGGAACAUCUCUCUAUUAAUACAUUGUGUUCUAUGGGUAACAUUGAAGAGUGAAAUUACAGAAUCACCUGCAAGUGGUUGGCAACAUUCUCUCUAGUCAGCCAUGGAACAUUCAUCAGAUCCAAUUUUUUCUUGGGCCCAACUUUUGCCAAAUAGAAAUUAAUUCUCCACUUCCACUCACUCAAUUGUUGCUUCCUAAGUCCUUGAGAUUUAGUUCUCUUGCUUAAUAUUUGAGGAGCAGCGACCCUGGUGCUCCGGUGAUAGUGCUUGGUCAUACGACAGCCACAACAUUGUCUUGGUGUUGAUCCCAUGCUUGAUUAUAUAGAUAAGCCAUUCAAAAAAAAUUAAUACACCUCAGCAUUCCACGUUAUCUAAAAAAAAUUACACCUCAGCAUGUGUAGACGCCGUCAGUGAAAACUUAAUGUAAAGGGCUUAAUUGGCGCAUUUCUACAAGUUUAUGGACCUGAUUGAGACCAAGAAAAAAAACGAUCACCCACUUGAGAUUGACACACAAAUAUGAGAACCAAACAAGAGUUUAAACCUAAAAAUUUUUAGAAAAUAUAUGGUUCAAUGUGCUCCUUCGUAUCAUAGAGAUAGUUCCUUGUAACAUCCCAAAUAUAGUAUAAAUACUAUAUUAAAGUCAUCAUAAACUCAAUAAAGCAAGAACAGUCUAAAGACAGGAAAUAUAAAGUUAAUACAGUUAUUAUGAUAACCAUAAUAUAAACUUUAUAUAUAACCCAAAGUCUAAACCAAAAACUAAAUACAUCCAUAUAAACUAAAACUAAGCAUCUGUUGGUCCAUCCUUUAGGACCUGCUCGACGGACAUCUCAUCGCUCUCUGAUCACACUCACUAGAUGAUUAUAGCCAAAUAACGUAGUACAGGAACAUAUAACAAAACACAAAUAAGAAGGGUAAGUUAGAUAAACAAAAUAAUUCAUAUAAAUAUAUAUAUAUAUAUAUAUAUAUAUAUAUAUAUAUAUAAAUAUAUAUAUAUAUAUAUAGUAUUAACAAAUUCAAACAUCAAUUCAAAAAUAAUCCAACCAUCCUAUACAUGCCAUAACAUAGAUAAGACUCAUCCGGAUUAGGUAUGAAUGUCAAACUAUUGAUAGUUUGUGAACUUGUAAUGGGAAUAUUGCUAGCUGAAACCAAGCUACCAUACAAGGUUAGUCCAUUUAAGUUGCUUAGGGUCAUGAUCAAAGCCCAAAGACAAAAACCUCCUACUACUCUCACUAAAUGACUCACUCCUCUCUACUUGAGAAUGAAUGAUCAUUAGAAUGUCAGAAUAAACCAUCAGUCCGAUGCUCCAUACAUUCAUACAAAAAAAACAUAGGCAUGACCAUGUAACAUCUCCAUGAGUGAUGGAAUUACAUCCAACAACCAUUCACAUCAUUCACAAACUUAUCAUCAUAAUAUUCAUAUGCAUUAUUUCCACUCACAUGUAAAUCAUAUACAAAUUCAUUAAUUUUACAUUGACUAACAUCAUAUAAGAUCACUAAUUAUAAUUCAAAGAACCAAAAUCAACCAAACAAGUAAUCGGAAGUCACAUAAUAAUACAAUUUUCUUUAAGGCAUCUUAUUUCUCACAUUUAGGUAAGGAAAAUAGCUCGAAAACCUUCACCAACAACUCAGAAGGGUCCAACACCCCCAAAACGACCUAAAGAACGUCCAAAACGGAUAUCCAGAACCCUAAAAACCCACCAAAAACAGGUGUAGUGGCGCAUAGUUGCACUUGAGCACCCAGGGGCUGGCGUCUCUGGAAACUAGUGCUCAACGCCAAAUUUGGACGCUCAGGAGCUAUCAGUAAGAUCAAGACCCAAUUUUCUCAUUUUGAACACUUUACCUUCAACUUCUAAAGGUCUCUAGGACCCUCCAAACCCUAAGAAAACUUUGAAAACCAUGUUGUAACUCAAUUUGACACUUUAAAACCCAAAUUCACUUCCACAAGCUACCUAAAUUCAAUUCUACACUUUCUAACCCACAUAUCAGUUUACCUACUGCUAGACAAGUUUAAAUACACUUGUUAGCACCCUCCAACACCUCAGUAUCAUCCCAGCCUUCCUACUUUCAAUUUCCAACACCUAAACCUCUAAAAUGAACUACCUAUGAAGCAAUUAACACUUCCAUGACAAAUUUUUCUGUAAACUUGUUGAUAAGGGGAGCUAUGUGAUAGCUAAACCCAUAUAUUCCAUAUGUGUUUCUGAUGGUGACAACAAAAAUGUUUUUAUAGUUUCUUCCACACAUUAUGCAAAACUGUUGUUUAUAUAUUUGUUUGUGCUUGAACUAUAUGUUAUGCAUAUUCAUUAUUUAAGGAUGAAUCUUUGAAUAUCUUGUUUUUGAUGAUGUACAUGAUGAUGAACAUUGUAUAAUGGACAUUUUUGUUGAUGGACAUUAAGGAUCUAUUAUAUUGUUAUCUUGCACAAAAUGGCAUAACAAAUGUUUGAUAUUAUUGAUGUGUGUGCUUGAUACAUGUAGUAAUGAUUGGAAAAAGGUUUACAUGUUUAAACAUAUUGAAAAUGUAUUUCUGGUAUGAUUUAAUCUGUUAAGCAAUCCAUGUAAUCUGUUAAAUUGUUUCAGAUUUCUUGUAUGCUUUAUUGGAGGCAAAUUGUUCUAACAUAAUUUGGUAUACAAUGUGUAUAACUAAUUAAGUAAAGAAAGUUAGCCAAUACAUGUUUUCAAAAGAGUGAAAAUAUGAUUACAUGUUUUCAAAAGAGUGAAAAUUUGAUUUGAAUGAAGUUUGAAAUUGAAUUUUGCUUAAGUGUUGGACAUAACCGAAUACAUAAGUUGUAUAAUUGGUUAAGUCAUUUUCAUAUGAUGAAUUCAAUUUCUUUCAAGUCGAUAUUGUUAUAACGGUCAUAUUGCAUUUACUUUUGACUGUUAAUAAGUGUUUAAUCGAUUGCGUGCACCAUAAAAUCGGUUAAAAGUCAUAUUUUGAAAUGUUGUCAAAAAUUGCUAAACUAGCAGGAAAUACGUAGUCGGUUACAUUAAUAGCGUAAUCGAUUAAAAUUCGUCAAGAUUUUGAAAAUGCCAUAAAUAACUGUCUUGCAUGUUGUUUCAAACUAAUCUUUGAAUAUACAAUUUUAUAAUGGACAGUGUGAUUAAGUUUUGUUAUAGAAAGUGUCCAAGAACCAUCUUGAAGAAUCAAGGAUCAACUUUGGGUUUAUACAUCAAGAUUAUAUCAAGAAGUGUGCUUAAAGGUUGUUGAUCAUAUAUGCACUAUUGGAGUGCUUACUGUGAAGAUCAGGUUUAUUCUUUUCAAUUUGUAGAUUGAGUUCCUGUUUUGUUGUGCCAGGGGGAGAGAACUGUGAUUGUUCUCAUUGAGAGUUGGGAUUGCUCUCAAGGUAUUCUUAGAGUGGGGUAUCUUUAAGGUGACAGAAAGUUGGGAUUACUUUCUGGGUUGUAAGAGUGUGAGGAUUGCCUACCUCUUGUUUGCUAUAAUUGAUUUUGAGUGGGGAAGGAGAGUGCAUUGAGAGGUAUUCUUUGUAUUCAACUAAGGUUGUUGAAGAAGACUGGAUGUAGACAUUAAGGCCGAACCAAUAUAAAAUCUAUGUGUUGGUAUUUUUAUCCUUUCUCUACAUUUGCUGAUUGUAUCACACUUCCUCAUUGAUUUCAAGAAACAUUAAGAAAGCUUCAAAGAUUUCAUAAAGAUUUUCAAAAGAACAUAUUUUUAAAGUCAAACCAAUUCACCCCUCCUCUUGGUUGAAAGUAUUGGCAUAUCUUUUUCUACAAAACCUCUAGACAAGUCAUAAUUGAUCUCAGAAUAUACUCAAAACUCUCCAAACUAGUUUACACCACUUAUUUCAAAAUCUCACCAUACGAACCUCAUUUUUUACCAAAAUCACCUAUGAACUCACCAUAAAAGCAACACCAACCAUUCUAUAUUAAGUAUCCUAAUAUAGAAUCCUAAUACAGAC
This 9508-nucleotide long non-coding RNA is filed under the name Vigna radiata. Its description in RNAcentral is "long non-coding RNA (VRAD_LNC014777)". The record is from RNAcentral. Lineage: Eukaryota; Viridiplantae; Streptophyta; Magnoliopsida; Fabales; Fabaceae.